Molecule: long non-coding RNA, 1521 nt
Organism: Rosa chinensis
Lineage: Eukaryota; Viridiplantae; Streptophyta; Magnoliopsida; Rosales; Rosaceae
Exons: 5
Source: RefSeq, a predicted model, not a curated record
GCUCAUAACCGACCUCAGCCUUACGCAUCGGAAUGAAUAUCAGAAAAGUCUUGGUAAGGUUUAAUCGUUCCUAUAUCGUUUGAUUUCACUUUCAAUUCCCUACAACAAACAAAUCAAUCAUAGGUUAUAUCAAAAUACAUGGUAUAGUUAUGUAUGAAUUUCAGGAAUAGGAACUUGAUCAUUGGCUAUUGUAAAAGUAUAUCCGUGUGUGCGUGUGUUGUUUGAAUAUCAGAAAAAUCUUGGUAAGGUUUAAUCGUUCCUAUAUCAUUUGAUUUCACUUUCAAUUUCCUACAACAAACACACACACGGACAGACUUUCAUACGGCUACAAAUGAUUAAACGGCUACAAAUGAUUAAACGGCUAGACUUUCAUGCGGCUACAAAAUAAUCUGCAAGAAUUGAUGUGGUGGUAAAACUGCAAUACUGAUGGUUCUGUGUGUUGCAUUUGGGUCUCCAGCUGAAAAGACUCAAAGAGGGUCUACACUGAAGGAUUUUACAAAAAGGGGUUGCAGGUGCAACUGGAAAAUGCCAAAAAAAGUAUGCGAAACCUGCAGAUAUAAAAGUAAAAUAUUUUAGAAAGAAGAAUAGCUCAUUGGACUAUUGAUUCUAAAGACGUGUCCAAUCUGGGAAUGUCGAAGAGGUUAUUACUUGGAUUUUUUGUAGUUAAUGAAAAGUAUAAUGAGAUUCACAAAAAGAAACCCAUGUGGUGUGACUCGGAUGGCAAUCCAAUGGGCCUCUUGAAGAAGCUAGCCUAAAAUUUGCAAGGAAGGAUCGCAGCGCAAGGAGAAUGGAGACCGUCACUCAAUGCGGCUGUUGCCAAAAGCUGAAGAAGCAUCAAGUAUCAUCAGCAUCAUCCUAAAAACACUCAAGCUACAUGGUUUUCAAACAGUUCUCUUGCAAGCAAAUUAAAUGUUGUCAAACGGGUGUCUUCAGUUGUUUUCCCAGCAAGCAUUUCAGCUGGAGCAGAGGUAAUAUCUGUCUCUCAAAGAGGUUUCAAAUCCACAGAAGCAGAAUCUGUUUAUCAGUAGGUUGAACGUUUGUUGCGAGAUCAUUGAUUCUAUCGAUCCAGCUAAGCAAGAUCGUAAGCGUGAAACAUUGAUUGAGCUGCAGGUCGCACCAUAUAAGGGAAGGAAGGGCGAGUCAAAUUGGGGUCUUUACACAUCUAGAGAAUUACAAGUACUCAAUCGUAUCUGGAAUCUUGAAGAACAGCAUGCAUCUAACAUAUCAUUGGUAAAAGCACCAAAACGGAUCAUUCUAAGGCUAUAAUUCAAGAGUUGGUGCAUGAAAAGCAAUGGGAUAGGCAAUAAAUGGACGACCUGACAAAGCAAGUUUUAGACCAAAACCGACUCAAAACUGCUGUUCAGUUGGUCAGGGGAUGAGUAUAAUUUUGAAAUCUGGCCAAGUACAACAUUGUAUAAUAUAGUUUUACUGUAUGUUAUAUAUCUAUAACGUAGGUUCGAUGUAAAUUCACCGAUAUCAAUAGUAUACCCGCAGCAACGCGCGGGCCUUUUGCCUAGUGUA